RNAcentral lists this ribosomal RNA (464 nucleotides) under uncultured Rhodoferax sp. RNAcentral describes it as "bacterial SSU rRNA". It matches the Rfam family "Bacterial small subunit ribosomal RNA", at positions 920 to 1382 of the family's 1533-position model. The record is from RNAcentral. Lineage: Bacteria; Pseudomonadati; Pseudomonadota; Betaproteobacteria; Burkholderiales; Comamonadaceae.
CCCGCACAAGCGGUGGAGCAUGUGGUUUAAUUCGACGCAACGCGAAAAACCUUACCUGGGCUUGACAUGGAGAGAAUCUUCUGGAAACAGAAGAGUGCCUCGUAAGAGGAGCUCUCACACAGGUGCUGCAUGGCUGUCGUCAGCUCGUGCCGUGAGGUGUUGGGUUAAGUCCCGCAACGAGCGCAACCCUUGUCAUUAGUUGCUACAUUCAGUUGGGCACUCUAAUGAGACUGCCGGUGACAAGCCGGAGGAAGGUGGGGAUGACGUCAAGUCCUCAUGGCCCUUAUAGGUGGGGCUACACACGUCAUACAAUGGCUGGUACAAAGGGUUGCCAACCCGCGAGGGGGAGCCAAUCCCAUAAAGCCAGUCGUAGUCCGGAUCGUAGUCUGCAACUCGACUACGUGAAGUCGGAAUCGCUAGUAAUCGUGGAUCAGAAUGUCACGGUGAAUACGUUCCCGGGUCUU